Long non-coding RNA from Prinia subflava (tawny-flanked prinia), 11034 nucleotides. RefSeq lists it as uncharacterized. The record is from RefSeq and is a predicted model, not a curated record. Lineage: Eukaryota; Metazoa; Chordata; Aves; Passeriformes; Cisticolidae. The transcript is spliced from 3 exons.
CAAAGACCCACUAAGCUCACUCUGAGAAAGGCUCGUUUCUUGGGAUAGCAUCAUGCAGUGGCACAGGUGACCAGUAAUGCACAAGACAGGUAGCUGGAAAACGCUCUUCAACCUUAAAUCACAUACCUGGAAAUAAGAAGCAAAUUUUUAGUUACAGGAAAAGAUCUGCUCGCUAUUUAAUUUGUUCUUAGAUUACAUCCUCUUGGUUUAAGAAGGCCUUAGAAGAUCAAUCAAUUCAUUUUUAGUCUCCUUUUUCACUAAGUGAAAGAAUCGAUUUCUGGAUGAUUUUUAAAGAUUUUUUUCUUCCUCUUUCUACUUUAUGAAGCUGUUUGUAACAUCAAAUGGCAAAAAUCUCUCACAUGAAGAAAUGGAGGUGGCAAGUGAAGGAUUAUUAGAGUUGUAAUUAUGAGAGGGGUUUUUGAAAGCACUGAGUGUAACUGAAUGUAAAUUCUAGGAAAGUUUCCCUCAUCUUAGUGUAGGAAAUAUGAAAAGGAAGCCACAGCAGUUCUGAGAAUGGAAGAUUUUAAUUUCCUUUUCAAUUACUGAAGGAGUUCUGUAAAUGUACAGAGCGUGUUUUUUCGACUUAUUCCGAUUAAUAAGAAAUUGCCACAGACCUGCUCAGCAGGGUGGGAAAGGUCAGUGGUAAUUUUUGAACAGAAGGCCUUGGAAAGAUGCUGGCCUUCCAAAAUAGUCAUCCAAAAUUGCCAGUCUUGUUUUCCUCCAUUUUUGCCUUUGCAAUUCAGCUUUCUGACUCUCCUGUUUUCAUUAUGUGCAGUAUUGUGUGCAUCCAUUCUAAUAAAUUCUGUUACUUAGAACAAUGAAGUUGAGCAUGAUUCAAAUCCUGAAUUAAAUGCAAAUCUAGGAGCAGAAAAAUGGAUUUAGUGGUAUGAUAGGAUUUGGAAUAUAAAUAUAUUGCAUUAACUAUAAAGUUUAAUUAAAUAAAAUAUUGUAAGGACUGCCAUUCAAGCUAGGACUGUAUCUGUGACAGAUUAAAUGCGUGCACUGUCAGAACAACAUGGAGAUCACAUGCUGGUGCCUUUGGAAGCUACAGACAACAUAUAUUUUUGCUCAAUUUUGGACAAAUGGUCAACCCCUGCAGAAGACAGAUGUCCUUUUUUCAGGGUCAGCAAUCCUGGUUUUGACACCACAAAAUUUCGUGGUUGAAAUUAUGAAGACUUUCUCCUGAACAGAUUUACUGCAGGACUAUGGCUUUAUUUCUUUGAACUUCAAAACAGAAGAAGAACAGAUUUCAAAUCAUAUCAGCAGCCAGAUAAGUACAAUCUUAAUUGCAAUACUGAUAUGGAACAACUUUAAAGCUUUAUGGCUGUACAGUCCUUUGUGCUAACAUGUGGAUCAGAGUAAUACAAAGGAGUUGGCUGCAAACCCAGGACAAUAUUCCUACAUUUCUGCUCAGUAAUUACUCUUAGAUGCAGGGGGAAAAGAAAGAUGUUACUCUUUUCCUAUUCUUUUAAUGGGGAAAGGGCUUUUUUGUUGUUGUUGUGGGUUUUUUGUUGUUGUUCUUGUUGUUUGUUUGUUUUGUUUGCUUUUUGUGAGAAAUACUACUUUGUACAUACACAAGGGAAUUCAAAUAAUUAAUUGAUGUUUAGAAACAUGGGAGACCAUUGUGAUUUCUUUUCAUUGCAAGUAAAUAAAUCCCAUAGAUACAGAAAAUGUACCCCUGAGGAAACAAGUGUCCCAUUUUCAUUGUGCCAAACAACUUUCUUGACAACUUGGGAACAUUUGCCAAACAAGAUUUUGGCAAUAGAAUGCUUUAAAAGGCAUUUAAUAAGGCUACACAAUUUAAACUAUUUACUUUUCUUAAGUAUUUAACUAGGAAGAAAGGGAACAUGAGGGAAAUGUUUCUUCUGUAUGAAUCCCUUUGUUUCACUGCUGAUGGAGGGAAGUGAGUGCAGGCAGAUUUGAGCUGCUGUGAUUGCACAAACAGCACCUGCCUCCCUUUGCCAUAUGAGAAUUGAAGACAAAAAUAUAAUUGCUCAACAUUUUCAGAAUCCAUUACAAUAGGUCAUGACUAAAUAUUGCUCUCCUCGAAUUUAGACUCAAGGAGAGCCACAUACUUGGAUUUAAGUGCUAAUUCAAACCUUUGAAUUUAGCUUGUCUUUCUUCUAAGUAAUUCUGGCAAAUGUAUUUUCUUUAAUGAUUCCUCUCUAGUAGCAAUAGAUACUGAAAUCAAAACUGGCUCACAGAGUCCUAGGGAAGGCAGGAUUCUGCAUAUAUCAUUUUAAAAUUAAUUUGAAAAAAUCCUAAAUAUCAGUGACAUUUCCAAAAUGCUGAAGAGUUCUGCUGUGGGAUAUAAAAGUAACUAUCUUGCUUUUAGCUCAUCUGUCUUUCAAAGACAUUUAUCUGAAACUUUGGAUAAAUUUGCAACCUCUGAGACAGACAAAAUACUGAUAACUGUCAAGGAUUAGGUCAUGCAAAACUAGACAUGAUUUUCUUUGAAGGUCAUUAAAAUUUUAGUGUUGCAGAUAACAUGACCCAUUUCUUUAUUUGAAAUUAAUUAUAAUAUUUAACAUGUUCAGCACACACCACUAGAAAAGGUCAUCUGCUCUUUGGGUAGAUGAGGUUCUCUGGUAACACAAGAAAUGUUAAUAAUGCUGAUCCUAAAAAGAAAUCAUUUCAAAAAUUACACAAUUGAAAUUUGAAAAUAAAUGUGUUCAGGUUUCCACUUAUAUGCUGCAGUAUUGCCUAAUCACAUAACAGUGUCACUUCUGCACACAACAAGCCCUCAACUAUUUUUAUUUUUGACCUGAGCCUUCACACAAAGUAUUAAUUUACUUUGCAGCAUAAUGGAACCAGUUCUGCUGUCCCCACAGAGAGCUGCUGUGCACUGCAUCAGACAGAUGACAGAAAUUCCUGCAGCAGCAGAAUUUAAAUGUCUCGCCUGUAAUUUUGUUCAGUAGCAUCUUUGUAUAUCUGACAUGUGAAAUAUGUCUUUAGCUUUUGAGACAACAAAUGACAUUUGGGUUUGCUAAGAAGGCUUAGCAAGGGAAAGGCAUAUUGAAAAUGUCACUUGUGUUACCACAGAGGUGUCCUCUGAAAAUGAGCCUAAAUAUCUAUGGAAUAUUUUAAUACUUAGAAAAUUUUCUGAAAAUACCCUUAAACAAUCCAAGUUUUUCCUUCUGGAAAUGCAGGCAAGUGCUCUGACCUAGUUUUACGCAUUUAUUUCUCCACUAUUUUUUUACCCCAGCCCUCCCAAUUCAGUGGACUUGGAAAAUACCAAAACAUGAACUAAUCCCUGAGAAGACAACGAAGAGCUCAGCAAAACCUGAGAAUAUUUCUAUCUCAUCUCAUAGAGUACUAAGUCUAGUGCAUUUUGAACUUCCAAAAGUUAAACAUCCUUUGGCAUAGGAGAACCUAUUUAAAUAUCAAAGGCCAGUUUUGCUGAAUUAAAAACAUAAGCAUAGUUGUUUGGAAAGACCAAAAGGUGUAUUUUUUUUUCAUUUAUCAGUGUGAUAAUAAGAUUUUCUUAAAAACAGAUGAACUUCAAGUGUCCUCAUUGUUAGCAUGCUGGUAUUUUCCAGUAUUUGUAUUUUCUGGCAACCUUUUUGUCCUUCCAGGAGAGAACACUUGUACUUAUUUACACAAAAUAAAGACAGCUUCACUUUGUAAGUUCAAUAUUUUGGGCAAGCAGUAAUAUACCAGUCUGCUAGCCAGUCUUAGCAGGAAGCAGUCCUAGUGCUGAUCACAGUGAGAUGACUCGUGGUCUCAGCUCAUUUUGAGAAGUUUAGUAAACAUCUUAUCUCUAGCACAGGGCUGAUGUAAUGUUUAUAAGAUCGGUCUGUCCUGUUUUGCCAUUGUUGGUGAUACUCUUGUUACCAAAACAGCCUAAAAAGUCUUUUCUUCAUCAUAACCUUCUGAAGGUCAUGUACAGAUGAUGUUUCAUCAUGAUCUAAUAUUUGAAACACAUAUUUAAGGAGAAAUCCCCCAUGCUCUCAAAACACCUCCCUGAAUUUAAAACUUUAAUUCUUACUUAUAAUAAAACUUGAACAACUUGAUACUGUAGAAAGCUUUUAACUCAUCAUCGGAUCUGUUUGUAAGUAAAAUACAUUUUGUCUAAAUAAUGAAUAUGUCAAGUCAUAUGGUGGGUUAUCUAUAUGACUGCAAAUGCUUACUUAACAUUAUGGUUAGAUGAGCAUCUAUAUUUUUUAUCAUAAGGAUCAAUACAUAAAUGUCCCUCAGGACACUUGAGCUAAGGCUGACAUAAUCACAAAGGAAAAACUUCAUGUAUAAAUUAGAAGGAACAAGAAAAAACUUUACAGCCUGGAUAACCUGUUUUGUCAAGGUUCUGAAAAGGCAUCAGGUUUGUUAAUAUUCUUUUUACACUCAACACAUUUUCCACUUCAAACUGUCUUUAGAGUGCCUUAAUUGUGACUACGAUCAUGUCACACACACUUUUCUCCCUUUAACUCCUAGGCUUGCAGCCUGUCAGUUUAAAUGAACUCAGUGUAAUCCUGACACUGCAGGCUGCAGUGGUUCCAUCUCCUCUGUGCUGACACACAGAGGGUCUCUGCUCAUGUGUCACCAUCUGGGACCUCACUAGAAGUGCUGCAGUGGAAAAUCAACCCAGCUCCUCAAUCCUUAGCUGAGCUGUGUCCGGGGGUGGCAUUUGUAGCAAUGUUCCUUUAGUCCUCCUUCACCUCAAAAAAUAAGUUAUAACUGAAUGUGCACAUCAGGAAGAUCUGAUGGCUGGAGAAGUACAAUUUUUAGUAAUUUUCAGAAUAAACCAACACUUUCAAAUUUCUCAGCAUUAUACACGUAUAGAAUAUUUAUUAUAAGGAAACUCACCACUGCUCUCAUGCCUCAGUGCAGCAGGGAUGAGUAAGAAGUCAUAGUGCAAGUUCUGUCUUCAAGAUCUCAGCAACUUCUUUAAUUACCUCCAUAGACAGAAACGUCUUUCCAAGACAGAUCUGGAUUGUGCAAAUGUCUUUGGUUUUUUCCUACCUUUUGCCUGUGAUUAAAGACCUCAGGAACAUCCUUCAACGCUUCACUAAGAAGGUGCCCAUGAGAACUUAAGGAAGAGCAUCCAACACCUUUUAUUUGCUAUGUACACCAUCUUUUAUAAUUUUUGCCUCAGCUGCUUCUAAAGUUGGGGUACCAGGUGUAUGUCUAAACCAACAGAACUUAGCUCUGAGUCUGAUAUCUGAAGGGUCAGAGUUGUGCCACUUCAGAAGCACUGAAUAUGCAGGAAGAGAAGCAAACCAAGUAAACAGAAUGCUCCAUUGCCAAGGAACAGAAAAUGAGAUGAAAAAUUGUAUAAUUUACUAUUAUUAAUUACACUUAGCUAAGUAUUACUGUACCAGCAUAAAAUAUCUUAUCUUAAACAAAGCCAUAAAAACAGUUGCAUAAGAAGUUCCAGUAGUGCAAUACUGGCUGCUUCCAAGCCUACAAUGUCUACUGACAUUUCUACCAAUUAGAUCACCCAAAUAUGUGACAAGCCCAGAUAAUCUGCUAAAGUCACAUUACAUUUUCUUUUCAGUUGCAUACAUCUUUGCAGAACUAGCACUGAAAAUUAGAAUUUUGCUUUCACUAUAUAACAUUUCUGAAAAAAGCAUAUUUGGCUCUGUUAAAAUCAAAUCUUUUUUUGUUUACUCUUAUCAAAUUCUGUGACAGAAACAACUGGUUAGUAGUUAAUAAUGCAACAGUACUGCAUAUUAUUUGUUUCCUAUUCUGAUAAGUUUCUUUUGUUUGGAUACAGAGAUGCAAGCAUAGAAAGAAAUUUUAGAUCCACACUCUGUAGUACAAGGGUGAAUAUACAAGUUUUUGAUUCUCACCUUAGUGAGAAUUUUUUUUAGUAAUAACAUUUUGUGUCCCAUUUUGUUCAGUCUCAGCUCAGGAGAAAGAGUGUCCUGACAAUGACCAUGUGCCCACUCUGAACCAGUAGUAAGUGUUGUUACUGAAGGUCAUUUCCUGCUUCUUCACAGUUUGGUACCAACCCAGACCAAACUUGUUUAGCCUGAAAUCAGACAGAGCUGGAGUUCAGGGUCAUAUGGCUUCAAGUAAAAUGAUGGACUGAGUCAUUAAGCUGAAUGUUUUGUGUAAUUUCAGUUUAAAAAGAAGUAUAAUAAGUAAAACAGCCCAGUUUGCAGAUGCUGAGUUCACAGCUGUUGCUUUUGUUCACUGAUGCAUAGUCCUACUGCACACAAAAAUUUGAGCUUUCCUGUCUUAACACUGUAACACACUGGUUCAGGAAAAUAAAAUACAGGGGAGGUUGGAAUAGAAGAGAUGAAAUGUACCACAUGAAUAAACAGAUACUCUACAGAUCCUGCUAAAUCUGUGCUUAGGCUCAUGUUGGAUCUGUGUCACCAGGAUAUCAGCAGAUAUUGAAAGGCAGUGUGAAUAAGCAACAUUCCCAUUUAAUGUUGAUUUGUCAAGAAAGGAAACCCAGGAACUUUCUAUGGACUUCUGGAAACUGAUAAAGCUCGUGUGAGAAGUGCUGAAUCUCAACAGCACCUCUACAACAGCUUUUCUGUGUGAGGUGUCUGAGCAAGUUUUUCCUUGGUGUCCACAGAAAAUCUGAAAAGUGCUGCUCUACACUGCUCCAGAAGUUAAAGGAAAAAUGCCAGCAAGAGUACACUUGGCUUACAAAGUCACACAUCAACAGGUCUCUAAGAAGCUUGGAACAAUAUGAGUGAAAAGAUCCUUCCAACCUAGUGAGCAAAAGUUGAAAGGCAGGAAAGCUGCUGAAGAGUCACACAGCCUUGAGGAACAAGGCCCAGCUAUUCUGCAUUAGGGAAAGGAAAGAGGUUGAACUCAGUUAAGUUCUUGCCAGGAAAAAAAAAAGUGCAUUAUAUUUGUGAAAAAUAACAGUGUCAGUAAACAGGAUGACAUUUUCAAGAAGAUGCUUAUGCUUUUUGUUCCAGCAGACGUGCUUUUAAAACUAUUUUAAAAUACAUUAUUCCAUACUUGAAACCAAACUCAGUCAAGCUCUUGAGGUCUUUUGUGUUUGUUUUUUUUUGUGGGGCUUUUCCCUUGCUGAAGGCCUUAUCAGGUAUAGGCUGAUCUAUAGGAAACAAGCAUUUGAUAAUUUAAAUGUUCAGCUUUCCAUCAAUCAGUGAAAAGGGGAGCUGUUCUUCACAGUCAGUUAUAAACACUUCUAGAUAAUUUUGUUACUUGGAUUUUUGCAUAUAUUUAGUAGUGUUUACUCAUUCCAUAUACCUACUUUUAUAGAAGGACCCAAGAAUACUUGAAAAUCUGUAUAAGGAAGUACAGUAUGGGGGGGUCUGGAAAUUUUGCAUACAAAAAGACAGGCCAAGGAGUAGUUAUAUCUACUCUUGAAAAAAAACAAUACAUUGGCUACUGCCAAUUUUUCAGAAAUUUUAGAAGGUACCAGAAAUGGACAUUUCUUGCCUUUUUAUAUGAUAUUAAGAAUACAUAUUUCUUCUUUAUUUAGUAAAUCCCCGCAGUGGGGAUAGUUUUGAGGUUCACUGGCAUUAGUCACUCCAUGGAUAUUUGCUCAGUGAAGUACAAUUCCCAGUUCCUAGUCAAGGCAGGCAGACUGAGAUCCCUUCAGGAAGCCACAAUUCCUGUUUGAGCAGAGGGAAUGGAAAGUUCUUGUGCAAAGGGAGCACUGAGCACUGCUGUGCCAGGUGCCAGCCAUGCCCACCUCUCUGCCAGCCAGGAGCUCUCUGCCAGCCUUGCUCCAGUGGGACAGAAGCUUCAGCUUCUGCCUCUGAAGCCACUCCUGACAGCACAGCUGGGGCUUGAAAGGGACCCUUGAGGACAAGCAGCAAAUAUUCUAAAAGUACAUGAAAAAAUGGAAACCUUUGCCUCUGGUCCAGGCAGUAGAAGCUCCGUUGAACUUUCCAGCAUCAGAAAUCACUCCCAGCACACCUCUGCUUCUCUAGGACCCCCUUGGAAUAGCACAGGCAUGGAGGAGCAGAAGGAGAGAGGACAGAUGGCUAAAAUGUCUUCUUGUAUCCUGUCAAUUCAAGCCUUACAGUGGCACACCACCACAUGGGGCCUAACCAGCUCCUUCUUUUGUUCCAGUCUGUUUGCCCCUGAUGAACACACUGUAAUUUAAAUUGAUUCCCAGAACAAUGAAUAAAAAAUGAGCAAUUAGGCAACCUACUUCACCUAACCUUAUUCCCACCAUUGUCCAUCUGGUCUCAUGCUAAACAAUUCAUUUAAGAGAGACUCUUGCACACAGCCACUCCAGUAACUUUCCUUUUUGAUGUUACCUCCCUCCCCAACUAUCAGAGGCAAUUUUUGUCAGUGUCUCCCUCCUCUGUGCUUAUACUUUGCAUGUCCUUCACAGCACUUGUUCUAACCACCUGCAUUCCUACCUGGCCGACACAGACACGUACAGUUCUCUUAAAGUAAACACUUCAAAUGAGACACUGCAGAUGGAGGAAAUCACGAGGCAGCCAGAGCUCUGAAGUACAGGCUGGAUCACUCACUGUGUACUCCCUGCUCUGGAGCAGCAGGACCAUGACUGGGUCAUGCAAGACAGCUGGUCAAUACCAGAGCACUGGAAACAGGAUUGUUUCCAUUCUGCAAAUUAAAUAUCUGUUCAAAUCUAAAUAGAACAAUGUUUGUAAGAAAGCAUCCCUAUUCUACUCCCAGCCAUUGGUGCUUCUGUACAUGAUCCUCUAAAGCUUUUGUGGAGUUAGGAUGAACUUGAGUCAUUUGCAGGGAUUUGAAGGCCAGUUCCUUUUGGAACCUCCAAAAUACAAAGAUGGCUUUGAAAUGCUCAUGUCUAGGCUGUUUAUUUCCAUAAGAAAUGGAUUUUCAUUAAAAUGUCAUUUUCUUCCCAGUAACUGCAUAACCCCCCCCCAAGCAUGUUAUGUACCCUCAAGAGGGCAGCAUGGCUUUUCAAAAUUCACCUUACAAAGGGAAUAAUGCCUUAGCAUAAAAGCAGGCUCCAAUGAGAGCAUGGAAUUAAUGUUGUUGUAACAUUAAUUAUAAAAAAUUAGUUAAAAAAGAAGGUAAGUCUUUGGCAGGCCAUUUUUCACCUGUGUAUUGCUGCUGUUCAUGUAGCACCACAGGGAUUACAGAAGCAGCUGAGGCAGGACUGCAGUUUCCAUGCCAGUUCUUGCUUAACCAAUAUCAACUGUGACCAAUCUAUUCAAAGUUGUGGUGGCAUUGUGUAUAGGGCAAGGAACAGCCAAGCUCUGUGACAAUGAAAUCUGUGCCUGCGAGUGGUGAUGACUCUAUUCAUGCUUUCCAAUGGUACAGAGAAAUUAAGGAUUUAAGGAACACUGACUACAAGGCGAACCCAUGAGUAACUGAGUAUGGUUGACUUUCAUGGCACUGCAUUAUUUUGUCCUUCCAUAAAAGUAUUGUCUCAACAUGGAAGGCUUUUUUCCCCUCCCUCUUUAUAUAAAAAUUCCAGUGCAGAUCUAUCCUUUGGCAAUUUAAAUCUUCUGAUUUUUGUGUCAACAUUAUCAGCUAGCCCUUACACUGCUUCUGUUUUGUUUAAUUAAACGUGUUGCUGCCUUUCACGCUAGGAAAAAAUCUUCCAGUUCCUUGAUCAUUGUAGUAAAAAUUCUCUCUGCCUGUCCCACGUAAAUCUUGUUUGAGCAAAGAUAAAAACUGCAGGUGAACAAUCCCUGUCACUGUCCUUGAGACUUCUUCAAGUAUUCUUCAAGUAUUUCUAUUGGAAAUUCAUCAUGUCACCACAUGUGCUUUCUCGAGCACUGAUGACUUAGGGAUGGUGAUGGUAGCACAUAUUUGGAAGACUUGGAGAGGGAACAAACUUGGGAGUAAGCUGCAGAUACUGGCUCAGAUUCUGCCAUCACUGAGCCUUAGGGAGAUACAAGAUUGUAUCUCCCAUACCUCAUUUUAGAAGGGUGAUAAUAUCCACCAUGCUACUAUCUAACUGGUACCACAGCUAUGAAACCAUAUAGAAAUAUAAUACCACACAUCUUAACUGGAUACUUGUCAGCUCCCUAAAGCAGUGCCUCUGCUGAAAUUCCAUCAGUAAUGCCCAAGGUCAGCUAAGUGCUUUGAUACCAGUAUCACUGCAUAACCCAUAACAUGUCAUGUAUUAGCAGAAUUCCUUUACCCAAUUGAAUUUUCCAAAUCAAAACUUCUCUCAUUUCAGAAGAAUGCUUAUUUGAAUUAUUCCUUAGAUUGCUGUGAUUGAUUUCAUCAUAAAUCCUGCAUAUUAAGGAGAAAAUUUCUAACAGCACUUCCACAACUAGUGCUACUUAACAUCCUUCUACCACCCAAAUGUGGUACAUUGCAAAAUAAAAAUUAAUUUCUUCCUAAUUUUCUGCAGGGUCUUUUUUUAUUAUUAUUUUUGGGUUUGUUUCUGAGAAAGCAUUUGACCUGAAACAGAAGUGACUACUCCUGUUAUCUGUCAAGUUCCCAGUGAUUGCACAAUGAAAUAGUCUGCAACAUUUCUCAUAUGCUCAGGAUCUUAUACAUGAUAUCCAUCCCAAAUGUACCAAAUCUUCCCAGGCUGUGCUCAGCACGGCGUGCUUUGACCCUGCAGGGAAUUAUCUAUGGCUGGAGCAAGGCAGUGCUGAUGGGGGACAUUGAGAUGGCAUCAAACCCUGCAAUGCUGGCUCAGCAGGAGCUGGGCUAAACCGCCUCAGAGAGCAGUGCCCUGUUCCUGUGUGCAUGCCAGGGUGAGCUGGGUUUGGUGCCCUGCCAGCCUGAAUCCUGUGAUGUGUUUGUGAUUUGGGGGAGAUAAGCGGUGCUACAGGGGAAGAGGAGCUGACACCACAUUCAUUGGCCUUGUGCUCACAUCUAGCAAUCAAAUUUCCCUCUCCCCAAGAACAUGAAAUAACACUCAGUGAAGCAACACAACAUCCACAGUAUCUGGCAUUGCACAGCAUCCUAAACAGGGAACAUUUCAUCCAGUCCUUGGCCUAGGAGCUCAGUGAGGCUGGAUACCAAUUCCAGCUAUUUUGACACAUAGAGAGCUCCAGAAAACACAGAAUCUGAGAAAGGACUCAAGGUGAAAGACAUCCUAUCUCAUGCAUGAGGUGCAGUUCAGCAGCUAACACAGUUAACACAAAGGAAAAUGAAAUAACAAGUUCCUUUCUCACGUUCCUUGUUCACCAGACUGCA